Molecule: long non-coding RNA, 371 nt
Filed under: Nicotiana benthamiana
Lineage: Eukaryota; Viridiplantae; Streptophyta; Magnoliopsida; Solanales; Solanaceae
Description: long non-coding RNA (NBEN_LNC002054)
Source: RNAcentral
UUUUGGCUUUGGAGUUGAAUUGGUUGAAUUAUCUUGUCGAAUUUGCUUUAACGCAAUCUGCAGUCAGAGGACAAUGUACUUGCAUUAGAUCUAGUGCAUUUCAAAUUGACAUGGUAGGGAAACUUAAAAAGCAAUGCAACUAGAACUCUCAAAACUCUAAACUGUGAAUAGCAACCAGACCUUAAAUGCGCCGGAGAAAAAAUCAGAGACAUUUGGCAAUCGUCCUUCCUUAGCAAGUACCGACCCAACAAUGCCUGCACCACAUAUGAGAUAGAUUAUUUGAUACCAACGACACACUUGUUUUACCUUGCGAUCUUCAAGACUAAAAGGAUGCCGGAUGAGUGGAGGUGGAGUACAGUGGUGCCCUUGUA